RNAcentral lists this ribosomal RNA (253 nucleotides) under uncultured bacterium. RNAcentral's name for it is "partial 16S ribosomal RNA". It matches the Rfam family "Bacterial small subunit ribosomal RNA", at positions 524 to 776 of the family's 1533-position model. The record is from RNAcentral.
UACGUAGGGUGCAAGCGUUAAUCGGAAUUACUGGGCGUAAAGGGCGCGUAGGCGGUCCGUUAAGUCAGAUGUGAAAGCCCCGAGCUUAACUUGGGAACUGCAUUUGAUACUGACGGACUAGAGAGUGAGAGAGGAAAGUGGAAUUACGAGUGUAGAGGUGAAAUUCGUAGAUAUUCGUAAGAACACCAGUGGCGAAGGCGACUUUCUGGCUCAAAACUGACGCUAAGGCGCGAAAGCGUGGGGAGCAAACAGG